UACGAAGGGUGCAAGCGUUACUCGGAAUUACUGGGCGUAAAGGGUGCGUAGGUGGUCGUUUAAGUCCGUUGUGAAAUCCCUGGGCUCAACCUGGGAAUGGCAGUGGAUACUGGCAAGCUGGAGUAUGGUAGAGGAAGGUGGAAUUCCCGGUGUAGCAGUGAAAUGCGUAGAGAUCGGGAGGAACACCAGUGGCGAAGGCGGCCUUCUGGACCAAUACUGACGCUCAUGCACGAAAGCGUGGGGAGCAAACAGG
RNAcentral lists this ribosomal RNA (253 nucleotides) under uncultured bacterium. Its description in RNAcentral is "partial 16S ribosomal RNA". It matches the Rfam family "Bacterial small subunit ribosomal RNA", at positions 524 to 776 of the family's 1533-position model. The record is from RNAcentral.